AAAACAUGGCUGAUGCAAGCCUUUAAGGAUGCUGCAUACCCAUGUCUCUUCUCACUAAUAGAACUGAGCUCCCAGUCAGCCUCUUCCACCUGACCCAGUGACCAUGAGGCGUGACCACAGGUGCCUGCUCUCUGGACAUCAGAACCAGACAUGGAAACGAGUCUUCAUGCAGAGUACGGAAUUUGGAACCAGAAGUAAUUCUAGAUGAACGCUGGUGACAAGAAAGUCUGGGGAAGAGACAACUCUAAGAGACAACAUGGCAUCAUGGAAGGAGCAAUAAGACUGAUCCCUGCCUCACUCCUGCUUUUUGGAAGUUUGAGAUUCCAAACUCUGUACUAUGGUUUUGCCCUCUGGAUCCUGCCUGUUUCUGCCUGCAUUCUCUGAACUUGAUCUCCAGGCUUUAAUCCCGACUAAGCUUUGGAAACGUCCUUGCUUGCCAUUAGAUAGAGCAGGAGAGUGGAAGAUUAGCCCUGAACUAACUGCUGCCAAUCCUCUUCUUUAUCUGAGGAAGACUGGCCCUGAGCUAACAUCCGUGCCCAUCUUCCUCUACUUUAUAUGUGGGACGCCUGCCACAGCAUGGCUUGCCAAGCAGUGCCAUGCCCGCACCCGGGAUCCGAACCGGCAAACCCUGGGCCGCCGAAGUGGAACAUGUGCACUUAACCGCUGCACCACCGGCUGGCCCCUUGUCCUACAUUUUCUUUCCUCAUAUGUCUAAAAUAAAUUAUUCAGUAUUCUUCUGGCAUAAACCAUCUGUUGAAAUAUCUGAAGAUAAUUUGAUUUCUUUCCCUUAUUAGUCACAAGGCCUUUUUGCCUAGGUGACUAAAGGUUUAUUUUUUCUUUAAAAU
RNAcentral lists this long non-coding RNA (845 nucleotides) under Equus caballus (horse). RNAcentral describes it as "lncRNA (ENSECAG00000045011.1)". The record is from RNAcentral. Lineage: Eukaryota; Metazoa; Chordata; Mammalia; Perissodactyla; Equidae.